Molecule: non-coding RNA, 148 nt
Organism: Xylariales sp. AK1849
Lineage: Eukaryota; Fungi; Ascomycota; Sordariomycetes; Xylariales
Source: the annotation of a GenBank genome assembly
GGCCUGUUGGUCUAGUCGUAUGAUUGUUCGUAGCCCUGUAUCUAUACCGUAUAUUCCCCAACUAAUAAUAGUCAAGGUCGCUUCGGGUAAUACCCUUCUACCUAACGUAGAUUGUGACAGGUCCCGGGUUCAAAUCCCGGACAGGCCC